Molecule: ribosomal RNA, 1695 nt
Filed under: Triticum aestivum (bread wheat)
Lineage: Eukaryota; Viridiplantae; Streptophyta; Magnoliopsida; Poales; Poaceae
Description: partial small subunit ribosomal RNA
Source: RNAcentral
AUGGAUUCUGCGAGGAGCUGGUUCAACAAGCUCCAAACGAGGGAGAAAUCCGUCGGCAAGAAGAAAGAUAUGCCUCCAAGUGGCAAGGAAGGGACCGAUGAAGCACCUUCCAGCGCUACGAAGCAAAGGGUUGCCGCGGCAAAGCAGUACAUCGAGAAGCACUACAAGGAGCAGAUGAAACAUCUACAGGACAGGAAAGAGAGACGGUAUAGUUUUGAAAGGAAGCUAGCAGAUGCCAAUGUGUCCGAGGAGGAGCAGAACAACAUCCUGAAGCAAUUUGAGAAGAAGGAGACAGAGUACAUGCGUUUGCAGAGGCACAAAAUGAGUGCCGAGGAUUUUGACCUGCUGACAGUGAUAGGGAAAGGAGCAUUUGGUGAGGUUAGGAUCUGCAGAGAGAAGACCACAGGGAAUGUCUAUGCAAUGAAGAAACUCAAGAAGUCAGAAAUGCUUCGCCGAGGUCAGGUUGAGCAUGUCAGAGCCGAAAGGAACCUCCUUGCCGAAGUGGACCACCAUUGCAUUGUGAAGCUGUAUUGUUCUUUCCAAGAUAACGAAUUUCUGUAUCUCAUAAUGGAGUACCUUCCUGGAGGCGACAUGAUGACAUUGCUGAUGAGAAAAGACACGUUGACCGAGGACGAGGCUAGGUUCUAUGUUGGCGAAACGGUUCUCGCGAUAGAAGCAAUCCACAAGCACAGCUACAUCCACAGAGAUAUCAAGCCUGAUAAUCUGCUCCUAGAUAGAUAUGGCCACUUGAGACUAUCCGAUUUUGGGCUAUGCAAACCACUUGACUAUGCAGCCUUCCCUGACUUGAAUGAGAAGGAUGUCACGCCUAAUAGAACAUCAUCGGCUCAUGGUGAUGGAAGACAACAAACUACGCCGAAACGCACACAACAAGAACAGCUGGAGCACUGGCAAAAGAACAGAAGAACUUUGGCUUACUCCACUGUUGGUACACCCGACUACAUUGCUCCAGAAGUUCUUCUGAAGAAAGGUUAUGGGAUGGAGUGCGACUGGUGGUCACUUGGUGCUAUCAUGUAUGAAAUGCUAGUGGGGUAUCCCCCAUUCUACUCGGACGAACCUAUGACAACUUGCAGAAAGAUUGUGAACUGGAGAACUCACCUUAAAUUUCCGGAAGAAGCACGGCUAACGCUGGAUGCAAAAGAUCUAAUAAGUAGACUCUUAUGCAGCGUUGACCAACGCCUCGGUACAAAAGGUGCAGAGGAAAUUAAGGAGCACAUCUGGUUUAAUGAAGUAGACUGGGAGAAAUUGUAUGAAACCGAAGCUGCAUACUUACCUCAAGUAACGGAUGAGUUGGACACUCAGAAUUUUGAGAAAUUUGAAGAGUCUUCCGAUCAUUCUCAAGCUUCAUCAAAGACAGGCCCUUGGAGGAAGAUGCUUUCAUCAAAGGACCUGAAUUUCGUGGGCUAUACUUACAAGAACUUUGAACUUGUGAAUGAUGAUGAAGUUCUUGAAAUGGCUGGUCUGAAGAAGAAGGAGAAGGCGAAGAGACCAAGCGUCAAAUCCCUCUUCGAUGAGCCUGACGGAGAGGAGGAGCAGCAAGCGUCCGGCGAAGACGACGAUGACGGCGAAGGCAGCGUCCGGAACCGGAAGACGGAGCCCGAGCCCGAGCUGACGAGGAGCCUCAGCUUGCCGUCCCCCUCCGCCGACAAGCCCAGCCUCGCCUUACCAACGGAUUAA